AUGGGUGAGCCGCCGAGCCGAGAGGGAUCCUAUUCCUCCUUCCCCAACUCCGACGACGACGAGCCGGAGACCACCGGAUCGGAACGAGGAGGGGGAGGAGGAGGAGAGGAUGCUCAUCGCCCGCUGCCUCUGCGCCAGCAGCUCGUGGGGGCCUGCCGCGCCGACGACCGUCUCAGGCCUCUCCUCACCCUCAACGUCUCAUGCUCCGCCGCCGAGAACCGCUUCAUAUCUCACCUCUCUCAGCACUUCGAGGUCUCGGAGGUGGGCAUGCUGGCAAGGUGUCUCUGCGUUCCCCUCGUCUCGCUGCGCGUCGGCAAGGUUGACCGCCACGGUCCCCUCCUCUGCCCAACAACCAUCAGAGGGAAGCUUAACCUUGGCCUUCUGCCUUCAUCGAGCAUGCGCCUUACCUUCUCCGGUGACGAUGGUUGUUCAGAGGAAUUGGCUCUGUUGAACGAAGGCCUAGAAGUUUCAGAACUUGUGAUUGAAGAAAUAUCAGCUGAUAAUUCUGGACGUUCUUUCCUUAUCAGGAUUUCAGAAUCUAAAAGAUUGUACUACUGGUGCGCUGAAAAGUCGAAGGAAUGUGGAAUGGAGCUUCUUGCAAAGAUGAAAAAUCUACUUCAGGGCAGGCCAACCCUCUCUGAUCUCACAGGCAUCUCCAAUUCCCGACUUGAUGCUUUUGUUACUAAUUUACAUGCUUAUCUUCUUGCACCAAGUAUUGGAGAUGCUAAAUUGUUGGGAUCAUCUACUGACUUCCUCAGUAAUUCAAGUUCACAAGGGCAACAUUUACAGCCCCCAUCAGUCGUUUCCAGGUCUUCAAGGUCUUGCACCUCUGCCGCUAAUGCAACAAAAGCAAGCUUGAUCUAUCAAGCCAGUCUGAGUCCCAGAUCCAGCACUUUUAAAGAUGGGGUUCCAAGGACCUCUUGUGCAAAGGUUGUUGGAAGAGAGAAGCUGAAGCGGCGUGGGGACUGGUUGGGCCCAUCAACUGCUCUAAUCGAUGCAAAUCCUUUGAUAGCAAAGAGUGUUAACCCUGAUUCAACCAGUGAGGUGUCUGAUAGGGACUGUUCAAAAAACAGUGUCACUCCCGCUUCUUCAUUAGACUUGCCUCUUUCAUUUCCCUUGCUGCCACCUCUUUAUCCACUCCCAGAGGGUUCUUCAGAGAAUCCAUUUAAGCCUUACUAUUGCUGGUGUCCGCCAUGCCCAUCGUCACUGCAGUACAGUGUAACCCCUCUGCAUAUGCCAGUUACAUCUGUAGAACCAUUUCCCCAGUCACCUUUGGGCUCACUGGUAUCAAAUGAAGUAUCAUCUGUCUCGUCAUUUUCUGCAAAGUUGGAUACAACUAAUUCACCUCCAUCUAUACUGCACGAUCCUUCACUUCACCUCCAGCUUCCUACUUCAAUUGUUCCCCUGCAUGGUUCUAUGGUUUCAACAUAUCCGUUACUUCAUCUGCCGUUUCCCACUUCACCUCUUGUUCCUGUACAUGGUUCGCAGGUUCCAACAUUUCCGUUGCUUCACCUGCCACUUCCUACUUCACCAUUUGUUUCAUUGCAUAGCUCACAGGCUUAUUUGGUGAGUUGUGGUCCUUCUAUAACUUCACCUGUUCCCCUGCUCCCUAGCUUGAAGCCUCUGAUUCCAGAAACCGAAUCGUUGGUUGAGAGGAGUGCUAGGGAAACACUAAUGAGACUUUUAGCUUCGACACCACCAUCAAGCAACCCCCAGCUGGUCAACAUUCUCCCUGCAGUCCUUACUGAUGUGCCUGAAAAUAUUUCUCGAUCUCCUAAUGUGAACAUGCAUGUUGGUGUCCAUCGCAACGACCUACUUCUUAGCUCAUCUUGGGGUGCUAAUGUGAUUGGAAGUGGGAUGGCAGCCAUGGAGCUGCACUCAGAGGAUGAGGUUUCCAGUGGGCAUGAUGCUCAUGCAAUGGUUGCGUUUACGGAAUUUGAUGAUAUCAACGGAGACCGUGAUCAGCCCCAUUUUCGGAGGAUGUAG
This 1986-nucleotide ribosomal RNA is filed under the name Triticum aestivum (bread wheat). Its description in RNAcentral is "partial small subunit ribosomal RNA". The record is from RNAcentral. Lineage: Eukaryota; Viridiplantae; Streptophyta; Magnoliopsida; Poales; Poaceae.